CACACGGCUACAAUGCGCAUACAAAGAGAAGCGGACCUCCGCGAGAGCAAGCGGACCUCAUAAAGCGCCGUCGUAGUCCGGAUUGGAGUCUGCAACUCGACUCCAUGAAGUCGGAAUCGCUAGUAAUCGUGGAUCAGAAUGCCACGGUGAAUACGUUCCCGGGCCUUGUACACACCGCCCGUCACACCAUGGGAGUGGGUUGCAAAAGAAGUAGGUAGCUUAACCUUCGGGAGGGCGCUUACCACUUUGUGAUUCAUGACUGGGGUGAAGUCGUAACAAGGUAACCGUAGGGGAACCUGCGGUUGGAUCACCUCCU
This 316-nucleotide ribosomal RNA is filed under the name uncultured Escherichia sp. RNAcentral describes it as "bacterial SSU rRNA". It matches the Rfam family "Bacterial small subunit ribosomal RNA", at positions 1217 to 1531 of the family's 1533-position model. The record is from RNAcentral. Lineage: Bacteria; Pseudomonadati; Pseudomonadota; Gammaproteobacteria; Enterobacterales; Enterobacteriaceae.